RNAcentral lists this long non-coding RNA (458 nucleotides) under Phasianus colchicus (ring-necked pheasant). RNAcentral's name for it is "lncRNA (ENSPCLG00000001888.1)". Lineage: Eukaryota; Metazoa; Chordata; Aves; Galliformes; Phasianidae. The record is from RNAcentral.
UGAUUUUCUGUGAGAAAAUGCAAAUUCCUGUAAGGUUGCUUUUACAUCACAUUUAUCAGUACAUUGUGUUGUUGACAAUGUAAAGCAACUUUAGGACUUCUAAACUUUCAAAAUCUUCUGCUUCAGAAGCAAACAACCCUCUGGAUAAAACCACCAUUUAAGCUCCUGUUGUGUAACUAUUUUACUCCCUUGGAGAAGAUAACAUGCAUUGAAAGUUUGUAUAGCUCCUCGUCUCAUCUUCACUUCAAACAGAAGAACAAAAAGCUGAGAGCAAUAAACUAAAGAGCUGAAAAAAUCUACAGAGUAAAGAAGUAAUUCAAAGAACAAGGAAGAAAGAAAUAUGAGAGGAGGAAGGGAACAAAGAGAGGACAAAGGAAGCAGAACAAGGGAAACAAGUGUCCUAUCAUUCUAUAGAUAGUAUUGUGUGUCUACAUGUAAACCAGGUUGCUGGUGACUAA